AUGAGGAUGAAGACGCUGGCCUGCUGCCGGCGGCGGCCGCAGGACUUCAGCGUCGACAUGGACCAAGAGCCGGAAAAGGUGACGACAUACAAUGGCCUCGAGAGCUGCAUUUUCAAUAGUUCCUCAUAUGAUGAGGAUAGUGGCGUUAGUGCAACAACAGGGGCGGAUGGCUGUGUCACCGCUGAUUCCCUUGAAGAUGAAGCUUCAAGUUGCUCCUCCAGCAAAGAUGUUGAUGGCUCUUCCUUCUCUUCCCAAUGCCUUCCAUUGAGCAAGCAGGAGGAGCAUUCACUUUAUGAGUUGGAUACGCUCGAUGCUAUCCAUCUACUCCCUGUCAAAGGGAAGAACCCAAUCACAUAUACGUUGAGUGCUGCUGAUAUCGAAAUCAUGAAGGAGAAGUUUGCAAAGCUACUGCUUGGUGAUGACGUUUCUGGAGGUGCCAGAGGAGUUUGCGCUGCUCUGGCCUUGUCCAAUGGCAUAACCAAUCUCUCAGCCACUAUUUUUGGAGAGCUGUGGAAGUUGGAACCAUUGUGUGAGGAAAAAAAGAUCAGGUGGCGGAAGGAAAUGGACUGGUUGCUUUCUCCUACGACCUACAUGGUCGAGCUGGUACCCACAAAGCAAAAUGGAGCAGAUGGGUGCAUGUUUGAGAUUAUGACCCCGAAGGCCCGUUCAGACGUUCAUGUGAACCUUCCUGCUCUACAGAAGCUUGAUUCCAUGCUAAUUGAAGUUCUGGACUCAAUGGUGGACACGGAGUAUUGGUACGUGGAGAGUGGCAGCCGAUCAGGUGGCCAGGGCAAAAAUAAUGGUGAAAGACAGACCAAAAAGUGGUGGCUUCCAUCCCCUUGUGUCCCUGAACAAGGGCUAUCUCAGUUUCAGCGAAAAAGGAUUGUGUUUCAGGCUAAACUUGUUCAUCAAAUCCUCAAAGCUGCCAAGUCUAUCAACGAACAAGUCCUGCUUCAGAUCCCUAUUCCCAUGGCUGUUAUGGACGCCCUUCCAAAGUCUGGCAGAUCUAGCUUGGGGGAAGACCUGUACCAUGCCAUAACCACGGACUAUAUUCCCAUCGAAGAAAUCUUUGUUUCUCUGAGUCUGAAAACCGAGCAUAGCGUGCUGGAGACCAUGAACCGGUUAGAAGGUGCACUGUUUGCAUGGAACCAAAGGAUCUCAGAGGAGAGAAGCAGGAGGUCCCCUGCACGGCAUUCGUGGAAGUUCAUGAAGGACAGCUCGUCGGAGCUGGAGAAGAUGUCGGCGUGCAUCGAAAGGGUCGAGACCCUCAUCCAGCUCUUGAAGUCCAGAUUCCCCAACCUGCCUCCGACGUUCAUCGACGUUGUGAAGGUCCAGUAUAACGAGGACGUGGGGCACGCCAUCGUGGAGGCCUACUCGAGGGUUCUUGUGGGGGUGGCGUUCAGCAUACUGUCUCGGGUGGCGGAGAUCAUGCUGGAGGACGACCUGGUGAAGAAGCCCAACACGCCCAUGGCCUCCCUCAAGUUCGACCUCUCCUCCGACGUGUACCUGGCGGGCAUCACGGAGACGCCGCCCGGCCACAUCCGGCGGUCCCUCAUGGACCAGAUCAGCAUGGUCGACGGCCGCUUCGACGCCGUCGUCAAGAAGAGAGGGGCCAAGCAGCUCAUGUGGUGA
RNAcentral lists this ribosomal RNA (1632 nucleotides) under Triticum aestivum (bread wheat). RNAcentral's name for it is "partial small subunit ribosomal RNA". Lineage: Eukaryota; Viridiplantae; Streptophyta; Magnoliopsida; Poales; Poaceae. The record is from RNAcentral.